CGGACGAACGCGUGGCGGCGUGCCUAAUACAUGCAAGUCGAGCGCGUGAAACUUUUAGAAUCCUUCGGGAGGACAAAGAGUGGAACGAGCGGCGAAUGGGUGAGUAUCACGUGGGCAACCUGCCUGUAAGAUGGGAUAACUUGCGGAAACGUGAGCUAAUACCGAAUGAAAGCUUUCACCGCCUGGUGAAAGACUGAAAGAUGGCUUCGGCUAUCACUUACAGAUGGGCCCGCGUCGCAUUAGCUAGUUGGUAGGGUAAAGGCCUACCAAGGCCACGAUGCGUAGCCGACCUGAGAGGGUGAUCGGCCACACUGGGACUGAGACACGGCCCAGACUCCUACGGGAGGCAGCAGUAGGGAAUCUUCCGCAAUGGACGAAAGUCUGACGGAGCAACGCCGCGUGAGUGAUGAAGGUCUUAGGAUCGUAAAACUCUGUUGUCAGGGAAGAACAAGAAGUGUUCGAUAAGGGCAUUUCCUUGACGGUACCUGACCAGAAAGCCCCGGCUAACUACGUG
Molecule: ribosomal RNA, 514 nt
Filed under: uncultured Bacillaceae bacterium
Lineage: Bacteria; Bacillati; Bacillota; Bacilli; Caryophanales; Bacillaceae
Description: bacterial SSU rRNA
Rfam family: Bacterial small subunit ribosomal RNA
Source: RNAcentral